Molecule: ribosomal RNA, 274 nt
Filed under: uncultured bacterium
Lineage: Bacteria
Description: partial 16S ribosomal RNA
Rfam family: Bacterial small subunit ribosomal RNA
Source: RNAcentral
AUACGGAGGGUGCAAGCGUUAAUCGGAAUUACUGGGCGUAAAGCGCGCGCAGGCGGGCUGAUAAGUUGGAUGUGAAAGCCUACGGCUCAACUGUAGAACUGCAUCCAAAACUGUCAGUCUAGAGUCUGGGAGGGGAAGAUGGAAUUAGUUGUGUAGGGGUAAAAUCCGUAGAGAUAACUAGGAAUACCAAAAGCGAAGGCGAUCUUCUGGAACAGUACUGACGCUGAGGCGCGAAAGCGUGGGGAGCAAACAGGAUUAGAAACCCUAGUAGUCC